GGCGUCUUCCCGCCGCGCUUUUCUCUCCGCACCCUCUAGUCCCCUCUUCCUCCCCCACCGUCUUCUCCCGGAACCGCCGCCUCGCCCACUCCCUUCUCCGCGCUCUCCAGGUGCGCGCGCUGCUGCGUCCUGCGUCCUGCGCCCAGCGGCCCCGGAGCUCUGCGCCCGCGGCCCAUUGGAGACCUCGGGAGUCGCAGCCCGGGAGAGGGAGAGGAGGGGAAGGAGAGAGUGGAAACGACCUUUGAAAGUGGGAGAGGGGGAGAAUAAGGUGGGGAGGAGGGAGAAAGUGCAGGGAGAAGACGGUGUGAUAGAGAAAACAGUGGAAGAAAACGCUGAGGCGAGGGCGGGACAGAAUGCAGUGGGGAGAAGGCCGGGCGCUGUGGCUGAAGCCUGUAAUCCCAGCACUUUGGGAGGCUGAGGCGGGCGGAUCACGAGGUCAGGAGUUCGAGAACAGUCUGGCCAACACAGUGAAAAACCCCGUCUCUACUAAAAAUACAAAAAUCAGCCGGCUGUUGUGGCUCGCGCCUGUAGCCCCCGCCACUCCGGAGGCCGAGGCAGGGGAAUUGCUUGAACCUGGGAGGCGGAGGUUGCAGUGAGCCGAGACCGCGAUGUUGAUCUCCAGCCUGGCCACAGAACAAGACACCGUCUCAAAGAAAAAAAAAAGAAUACAGUGCGGAGAGAGGGCGAAGAUGGUGCGAAGAAGACCACGGGGAGAGGGAGAAGAGGAACCUUUAGGAACCUUGGUAACUGAUCAUAUGCUUUCCAAUGUGGCAAGGCUCUGAAUCCUGUUUCCCGUCAUCUCUUCAUGUCUUCCCAUUGAGAUAUCAAGAGAGUUUCAUCCUAUUAUUUUGUUUACGCUAGGAAUAUUUCAGCUUGGCUAGACCUGUUUUCUACUUGAUACUUUUCAAUUUCAAGUUUGACAAACCCAAAUGUGCCCCUUUACCAGUUGUUUCUGUCUCAGGGAUUGGUUUCUCACUGCACUGUGAUACAGAUGAAGCCGAUGACUCUUUCAGCUCAUUAUCCCCAGAAUGGUUUUGUAUAUUGUUGACGCAGAAUAGACACCUAAUAAAUAUUUCUAAAUUUUUAUUGCUCUUCCGUGCCACAAAACAGAAAUCACUUUUUUUUUUUAGCAUGAAUUAUAUGCCCUUCUAUUAUCUUGCCCUGAACGGUUUCUCAAAUCUUAUUUCUUCCCACUCCCCCAUUUGUUUCCCACACUGUAGCCGUUCACAAGUACUUGGAGGUCUGUCAACUCUCCAUGCUAUUUAUAAUAAUCAACACUAAUGAAAAGAAAAGGGACUUUUUAGCAGAGGCAGAACUCAUUAUUUUCUAAAAAAUUAUGCAUAUCUCCCGGGUUAAGUAGUGUCCCACAGAAAGUCAUGUCCACCUGGAACCCGAGAAUGUUAAGCUAUUUGGAAACAGCGUCUCUGCAGAUGCACUUCGUUAAGACGAGGUCACAGAGCAUUCGGGUGGGCCCUAAAGCCAAUGGCUGUAUCCUUAUAAAUAGGCCAUGGGAACACAGAGAUCCACUGGGAAGACGGCCAGGGGACAAGGGAGGCAGAGUCUGGAGUUAUGCUGCCUACAGUCAUGGAAUGCCAAGGACAGCCAGAAACCACCAGAAGCUAAGAGGAAGAUUUUACCUGAAAGCCUCCUAAAGAAAUCAGUCAUACUCAUACUUCCCUUUUGAAUUUUUAGCCUCGUGAACUGUGAAAAAUUAAAUUUCUAUUGUCUUAA
Molecule: non-coding RNA, 1731 nt
Organism: Callithrix jacchus (white-tufted-ear marmoset)
Lineage: Eukaryota; Metazoa; Chordata; Mammalia; Primates; Cebidae
Source: RefSeq, a predicted model, not a curated record